UACGUAGGGUGCGAGCGUUGUCCGGAAUUAUUGGGCGUAAAGAGCUCGUAGGCGGUGUGUCGCGUCGGCCGUGAAAACCUGCAGCUUAACUGUGGGCUUGCGGUCGAUACGGGCAUCACUGGAGUUCGGCAGGGGAGACUGGAAUUCCUGGUGUAGCGGUGAAAUGCGCAGAUAUCAGGAGGAACACCGGUGGCGAAGGCGGGUCUCUGGACAGUUCCUGACACUGAGGCACGAAGGCCAGGGGAGCAAACGGG
This 254-nucleotide ribosomal RNA is filed under the name uncultured bacterium. Its description in RNAcentral is "partial 16S ribosomal RNA". It matches the Rfam family "Bacterial small subunit ribosomal RNA", at positions 524 to 776 of the family's 1533-position model. The record is from RNAcentral.